UACGUAGGGUGCGAGCGUUGUCCGGAAUUAUUGGGCGUAAAGGGCUCGUAGGCGGUUUGUCGCGUCGGGAGUGGAAACGCCGUGCUUAACACGGCGCUUGCUUUCGAUACGGGCAGACUAGAGGUAUGCAGGGGAGAACGGAAUUCCUGGUGUAGCGGUGAAAUGCGCAGAUAUCAGGAGGAACACCGGUGGCGAAGGCGGUUCUCUGGGCAUUACCUGACGCUGAGGAGCGAAAGUGUGGGGAGCGAACAGG
Molecule: ribosomal RNA, 253 nt
Filed under: uncultured bacterium
Lineage: Bacteria
Description: partial 16S ribosomal RNA
Rfam family: Bacterial small subunit ribosomal RNA
Source: RNAcentral